AGGUGGCUUAAUGUUUUUUCUCUCUUCAAGUAGAAGUGGUCCAAGGGAAAAGUCAGAGACAAGUUGAACAACCUCGUCUUGUUUGACAAGGCCACCUAUGACAAACUCUGUAAAGAAGUGCCCAACUACAAGCUCAUCACGCCUGCAGUUGUCUCAGAAAGGCUGAAGAUUCGGGGCUCUCUGGCUAGAGCUGCUCUUCAGGAACUGCUUAGCAAAGGUUUGAUCAAGCUUGUGUCCAAGCACCGAGCCCAAGUGAUCUACACCAGAAACACAAAAGGCGGAGAUGCGCCUGCUGCUGGGGAGGAUGCAUAGGAAGGUUCUCCAGUGACCUCUUCAACAAUAUGUCAUAUGUAGAUGCACGCAAUAAAAUUAUUGAAAUAA
This is a non-coding RNA of Struthio camelus australis, 381 nucleotides long. Lineage: Eukaryota; Metazoa; Chordata; Aves; Struthioniformes; Struthionidae. The record is from RefSeq and is a predicted model, not a curated record.